This 25-nucleotide unclassified non-coding RNA is filed under the name Mus musculus (house mouse). Its description in RNAcentral is "oocyte_clustered_small_RNA7005". Lineage: Eukaryota; Metazoa; Chordata; Mammalia; Rodentia; Muridae. The record is from RNAcentral.
UGCAGCAAUUAGCCUGGAGUGGUCA